CCUACGGGUGGCAGCAGUGAGGAAUAUUGGUCAAUGGCCGGAAGGCUGAACCAGCCAUGCCGCGUGAAGGUCAGUGCCCUAUGGGCGUUAAACUUCUUUUGUGCGGGAGCAAUAAUGGUCACGUGUGGCCAUACGAGAGUACCUUACGAAUAAGCAUCGGCUAACUCCGGGCCAGCAGCCGCGGUAAUACGGGGGGUGCAAGCGUUUUCCGGAUUUUUUGGGUUUAAAGGGUGCGUAGGCUGUGAGGUAAGUCAGCGGGGAAAUGCCCCCGCUCAAAGGGGUGAAGUGCAAUUGAUACUGCCUUGCUGGAGUGCGGAUGCGGUAGGAGGAAUGUGUGGUGUAGCGGUGAAAUGCAUAGAUAUCACACAGAACACCGAUUGCGAAGGCAGCUCACGAAUCCGCGAUUGACGCUGAUGCACGAAAGCGUGGGUAUCAAACAGGAUUAGAUACCCGGGUAGUC
This 460-nucleotide ribosomal RNA is filed under the name uncultured bacterium. Its description in RNAcentral is "partial 16S ribosomal RNA". It matches the Rfam family "Bacterial small subunit ribosomal RNA", at positions 338 to 795 of the family's 1533-position model. The record is from RNAcentral.